UUUGAGGGGAAUGUUGUCUGGCUCGAGGACACUUUCUUUUAAUCCAUUUUCUUGCAUUAGUUUGCUCCUAUGGAUCUGAUUAUGGUUUUAAUGGAUUGAGCUUGUGCUAGUGCCGUCGGACCAGGCUUCAUUCCCCCCAAU
Molecule: microRNA precursor, 141 nt
Filed under: Theobroma cacao (cacao)
Lineage: Eukaryota; Viridiplantae; Streptophyta; Magnoliopsida; Malvales; Malvaceae
Description: pre miRNA mir-166
Rfam family: mir-166 microRNA precursor family
About the family: This family represents the plant microRNA (miRNA) precursor mir-166. Animal miRNAs are transcribed as ~70nt precursors and subsequently processed by the Dicer enzyme to give a ~22nt product.
Source: Rfam by way of RNAcentral